GACGAACGCUGGCGGCGUGCUUAACACAUGCAAGUCGAACGGAAAGGCCUGCUUUCCCUUGUGGAUUGCGGGUACUCGAGUGGCGAACGGGUGAGUAACACGUGAGUGAUCUGCCCCCAACUUGGGUAUAAGCCUGGGAAACUGGGUCUAAUUCCCGAUAGGACUGCAGGGUGGUGCCUGUGGUGGAAAACGAUUUUCUAGUGGUUGGGGAUGAGCUCGCGGCCUAUCAGCUUGUUGGUGGGGUAAUGGCCUACCAAGGCGGCGACGGGUAGCCGGCCUGAGAGGGUGGACGGCCACAUUGGGACUGAGAUACGGUCCAGACGCCUACGGGAGGCAGCAGUGGGGAAUAUUGCACAAUGGGCGGAAGCCUGAUGCAGCGACGCCGCGUGGGGGAUGACGGCCUUCGGGUUGUAAACUCCUUUGGACCGCGAGGAAGCCACCUGGUUGGAAGGGUGGUGACGGUAGUGGUAGAAGAAGCACCGGCUAACUACGUG
RNAcentral lists this ribosomal RNA (494 nucleotides) under uncultured bacterium. RNAcentral describes it as "partial 16S ribosomal RNA". It matches the Rfam family "Bacterial small subunit ribosomal RNA", at positions 28 to 507 of the family's 1533-position model. The record is from RNAcentral.